AAAAUGGUUUUAUUCUUAUGUCUUGCCAAAUAAUUACCUUUUCUGUAUGUGCCUUGGAAGUUUAAAAAAAAAAAAAAAAAAAAAAAGAGCAGGAGGGGGGUAUAACUGUUCUUUUGCUUUUCUCCAAGCAUUUUUCACAAGGCAAAUGUGGGAGAAAGAAAACAUGAUGAGAAAGAUCUACAUUCCUCAGUGACCUCACCUAAAUUGACUACAAAAGGCUGUGCCAUCUGGGGAUCUUCUCUUCUCCCCUGAUCAAUGAUAGUGAGACCUGGACCAUAGCUUCUACUGACAUAUGGGCACAGGCUGCUGGUGACUCUCUUGAAGAAGCACUCUACAAAGACAACGUGCUACUCAGUAUGUAGCUAUUCAAAAUAAAUGGAAUAAAUGGUUCUUUAAACUUCCA
RNAcentral lists this long non-coding RNA (403 nucleotides) under Dromaius novaehollandiae (emu). RNAcentral describes it as "lncRNA (ENSDNVG00000018670.1)". The record is from RNAcentral. Lineage: Eukaryota; Metazoa; Chordata; Aves; Casuariiformes; Dromaiidae.